CACGGUUCGAGUCUGCACUCCCGCUUCGACCUGCAUUCGGGUGCGGCUGAGUGCCCGCCUCGGCUUGGGUUCGCAUUUGGGGUUGCGUUUGCAUUCAGGUUUGGGCUUGGAGUUAGAUUUGGGCGUGGGUUUGAAUUUGGUUUUGGAUUUCAGCUUGGGUUCAGGCUUGGAUUUAGAUGUGAGUUUAGGUUUAGAUUUGGGCUUGGAUUUGGAUUUGAGUUUAGGCUUGGAUUUGGAUUUGAUUUUAGACUUGGAUUUGGGCUUGGUUUGGAUUUGGAUUUGAGUUUAGGCGUGGAUUUGGGCAUGGGUUUAGGUUUGGAUUUGGGCUUGAGUUUGGGUUUGGAUUUAGAUUCAAGUUUGGGCUUGGAUUUAGACUUGGGCAUAGGUUUGAGUUUGGAUUUGAACUUGGAUCUCAGCUUGGAUUUGGAUUUGGGCUUGGGUUUAGGCUUGGACUUGGAUUCAGGCUUGGGUUUGAUCUUGGGCUUGGAUUUAGACUUGGUUUUGGGUUUAGGUUUGGGCUUAAGUUUGAUCUUGGAUUCAGACUUGGAUUUGGGUUUGGUCUUCGGUGGAAGCUUGUCGUGGGUUUGGACUUGGGCACAUCCCUGCUGUUGCACAGUCCUUGGAGGAAAGGGGCACCCGUCGCUGUGGAGCCUGGGAGCGAGGGGCUCGGCCCCUGAAUCGGACCCUGCUGGACCCGAAAUGCUGGAGGCUGCCAGCGAGAGACUGGGAGGGAGGAGGCACAGGAGUUUUCCAGUCUCCAACCAGAGAGCUACGUUUUUAUGUUGUAAAGUGGAGGCCGUGUUUAUAGCAUUUGUUGAGACCACAUCAGAGCUGGCAAAACUUCACGUUGGAUCACUUCUUCUCUGCAGGGAGCUGGCGUGAGGGUGUCGUGACAACCCAAAGACGCGCCAAGGCCUACAGCAACUGGAAGAUGAGCAAGCACUGUUGAAAAUGUAUCGUGGAGGGCAAUCUCCUCUGCCCAUCUUACUGACCUACUUAUCGUUACACAGAGAUACGCAUUAUUGGCUGGCUCUCACCACAGUCACAUGAAAGUAUUCUGAAUAUCUCUGCCAGCCCCGUUGUGAUCCCACGCUGAUACUAUCAGGAGCUUCUUCACAGGCAGCAAUGUUUCUGGACUACUAAAACCUGGUGAAGGGGGGAGGAGAAACAGGGCCCACUUGCUGCUGUGGGAGUACACAAGCGAGCAAAAGCUGUGGGAGAAGAAAGCACACGCUCUGACACAAAUAUACACGUGGCAGGGUGGAGGUGGGUGUUAAAAGGAGGAAAAGCAAUAGAUUAAAACAAUUCAGGCUCCUAAAUGCUGCCUGGCAAACAGGGCUUCAUGUCCAGGCUGAGCCCGCAGCCCAUGUGGAUCAGUUUGCGGAGUCGGUGCCUGUGUGGAUGUGAGAGAGGCAGGGAAAAAUAGGUAGAUGAUUUAGUUUCUUGGGCCCAGAUCCUGCAUCUGAAUCCAUGCGGGCUGCCCCGGCACCUGUGUGAUGUCCCUGGGAAACUGGUGGCUAUGAAGGAUGUUAGCUACCUUUGGGACGUCAAGCCCAAUCCAAGAUCAAACCCAAACCUAAAUCCAAGCCCAAAUCCAAAUCCAAGAUCAAAUCCAAGUCCAAACCCAAGCUCAAACCAAGAGUGAAUCCAAGUCCAAGCCCAAGCCUAAACCCAAGCUCUUCCUCAAGUGUCCAAGCUCCGCCUUGCUGGACUUGGAUUAACUUUCCCCUUUUUAAAGUUUCUCUCCAAGUUUCCUUAUCCCCUCAUUUCCAAGGGCAUUCCUGCUCCCCCAUCAGAGCUUGUUUGCAUAAAAACCGAAACGUGGAGGGCAAAAGUUGUGUUGAUUUUGGCCGCAGGCGGUUGAAUUGGCCGGAGUAAGGACACCUGCUUUCUGUCACUGAGCCCCACGCUCUCUGUGGACCCAUCUCUAAUCCGUACAGCAUAUGUCCCUGUAAAUGCUUUCCAAAGCGCUGCAGUUCUUCACGCCUUAAAUCCUGCCUCCAAUAACUCCCAGGGAGCUGAUUUUCAGGGCCCACCUGACAGUUUCUCCCAUUUCUCUGCAAUUCGAUGUCUGCUGCUGGAGGUCUGGAAUAUCCGAAGCACCCACACUAUCCCAAGGGGUUCCCAGUUUGCAUCGUAGUCAGGAUUACUGUGUGCCACCCCCCUGAGCUGGACUCUGCUUUCACUGCACCUUGUUUUGGCACUGGUGGCAUUACUACUGCUUUGCACCAGGUUCAGAGAGGGUGGAAUCAGGCCCUGAGUCCUCAGCAGGUCUUUUCAAAAUAGCAAACACUACCAUUGGCAGUAAAAAAUCACAAGGAGAUUGAGAGCAGGUAAUGGGAAAGUGGACGUUUUACUUCAAUCUUCCUUUUUCAGAUGCAGCAGCCUUGUGUUGAGUCAGGAGCACCCUGAGUUCAGUGAGAGGAGCAGGCCUUUCCCACGUGGGCAUUUCUCAGAAAAGGGGAUCUGAGAACUAAGCUGCUUCGAUGCUGGAAAAGGGAGACAAGUGCAGCUGUUAUUCUUCUUACUCCUGGUCUAUAGUAUUAUACCAUCCAAUAUCAUCUCACAACUGAUCUCCUGAGUCUCCCCAGUGCUAUCAAGAAACACUACUGUAUUAGCCUCUAGAUACUAUAUUAUAUUAAGCCUUUCAGUUUACAUCAUAUAAAGCUUUCCAGUUCCUCUGAUUGGAAAUGUGAACUGUACGGAUGAAGUUUGUGGGACUCUGGAAAGCCCCGCUGUUCAUGUUAACCUGUGAUAGCCCUUUGCAUUCUCCUCUGACAUUUGCUUUUUGGCAAUGGGGUAAGCAAGCAAGCCACGACUGAUCUAUCACGCUGGAGCUCACGUUAGGUUCUCGGCUCUGCUUGCAAGACUGGACUGCCAUUAUUCAAAUAAAAUUCAAAUUCCAAGACAAAAGAGUCACUGGCAGAAAAUAAUGGCAGCAAAUAUAGUAUCAAGCAGCGAGUCUUUCACAUGCUUGUUUAUAAUUCUCUUUUAAAUAUUUAUUCCCUAGCUUGAGCAACAUGGGGGUGGAUCUUAACCAUCAUCAGUAGCUAAUAAACACAGAGAAGGGAGUAAUUUCUGAUGCUGAAUUCAAAGCUGGGACAUGGUCCUGCACAUCAGUAAGUGGAGAUUUAAGAAUCACUGAAAUGCAGGUGGUGCUGAGGUCGAAUGAGCAGGGAGAGACCUUUUCCUGCCCCUCCUCGUCUGAAUGAGAUUUAGCUAAAUAUAUGCACACUUACAUGCUUUUAGCAGAACUCUCUAGGUGGUUCGGUGUAUUGUGCAUAUUUAAAAUUGCAAUGGGACGACUUAGAUUUAUUCCAAAGUGCCUUUGAGAUGUGCUAGAUGCACAGAUCCCUGUAAUUCGGGCAAAGCCUACAUCCAGCUGGGCCCUAUUCUGCAUGGGCGCUACUACCAAAUCCUGGAUACUGCUCCCUUUUAGGGGUCCCUGGUACCCACACAGUCUUCAUCCAUUCAGUGCAGCUUAGUAUGAAUAUAACUAGCUAGCUAGAUAGCUUUGCACUGUAUUUGCUGUGAUUGUUCAGUCUCUCUCUCCCCCUUCCUUGAGCACGGCUAUCGAAAAUGAAUGCUCCUUCAUUCUUGCGGUGUGAGAGAAGUGACAGUUACACAGAAACACGGCCUUGGCAUGUAAAGAGCGGUGCAGGCCAGGGGAAUUUCCUGUGACUUCAAUCAGGCCGGUCGUGGGGGUGGAGGUGGCAGCUCUGGGAGGACUCUGCUUUGCCAUUUCGCCUCGUGAUUCAUUGUGAAACCACGACUCUCCCCUUCACUUCUAUUUAUUUAGCUUGGAUUUAUUAGCUCCCAUGGAGGAGAGAAAGCAGCAAGCGGCAAGCUCUUCUUGAUGAAUGGUCUCACAUCGAGAAGAGAGAGAGGAAACACCUUGCGUGCAGAGGAUCCCGUUAUGCUCCACGCUGCCUCGCAGAGCAUCUACCCUUGACUCGCUGCCGGGCCUCUGCCAGCUCCCACCCCGUGGCCUGCCUCGCGCCACCUCCCGCCAAGGGCACUGUGUUGAAAGUAGCAGCUGGUUACGUGGCCUUAAAAAUAAAAGCAGCAGGAAGCGACUAGCAGUGCUUCUGCCUCGGCGGCGUCAGAGCGCGGACGAGCAUCGCUGAGCUCAGAAACUCCCGACAGCUCAGCCUGCCUCCCGCUGCUGGCAGGAGCUACAAAACCCGAGACCAGUCGGUCCACCGCAGGACUCUCCCCGCACCAGAGCUGAUCCAGGCAGGGGCUGGGCUGUGUUGGAUGGGAUGUCUUCAUGCCCUGCUUCCUAGCCGCCGGCUUGUUGUGAUGCCAAAGCCAAGGCAGCACAGGACAUGCGCUCAGCCGCGACACACGUGGAGAAGAUGCCUUGGGCCAAACAAACAGCCUCUCUCACUCUAUUUUGCUUCUCAUUGAUUGAUUCCUAUUAAUGACUCCAGCUAAAAUAUUGUGUAGCUGCUCCCUGCCUGAGAGAAUCAAUGGAGCGGCGUUAGCGAGCAAUGCAGAGGAAGGAGCUCCCAGGUCAGCUCUCCUGGACAGCCAUCUGCGGGGUGCUCCAUCCGCAUCUUGCUGGGACCCGUCUCCUUCUUUCAGGGGAGAAACCAAGCCUGCCCUCGAGUCUUUCACCAGGACUAACACGCAUCGCCGACUUGAUGCGAUACGUAAACAGUAAGGGGCCUUUUAAGCCGAUCGACAGUAUUGGAAAACUUCCCGUGUGUCUUCAGAGAUGGGGUCAAACUCUCAUUAGUUUCUAAAAGCUUGGAACCUUUCUCUUAUGGAUUGAGGAACCUGAACUGUGGCGCUGGGGAAAUUCAAUUAGUUACAACUGAUUUUAACCCGUGCUCGUCCCCGGAGGUGUCCCAAUCCGCCGGCAGCUGUGCUUGGACCUCGAGGCACUUUCUGCCCCUGCCUCGGGCUAGCUGGCCAGCUGCCGACUCGGGCUCCAGAUCCAAACUCUCCUCCCGGCGUUCAGAUGCGGUUCCACCGUGUGCAUCCGUGGCGGAGAAUAACUCUCACCUUGCUCCGCAGUGCCCGAGGAACGGUAUCCUCCGAUUACCCGCCGGUCAAGUCUCAGCUGGGACUCGCCUCGCUUGUGCUGGGGCUUGCCCGUGGCUGUGUCAGAGGAAAAGCGGGAAGCCUCCAGCAAAUAACAUGACGUCAGUGCCACCGCACGAAGGCCCCGAAUCCAUGAAACGGGGGCUCUGCUCAUGCUGCUCUUUGGAGAAUGGUUGCUACAUAUUCCUGGCAGUGGAGAGGCUGCAUCACCUGUUUGUGCCUCUAUUUUCCUACCUGUAAAAUGGGGCUAAUGAGUAUCACCUUCCUUUGUAAAGCACUUGGAGAGGUGAGGAGCUCAGUGUGCUCACAGCCCUUCCACAAUGAGAUUCCUGAGCCAUCAAGCCAAGAGUCUCAAUGAGAGAGGAAGGGAAGUCCAGCAAAUACAUGCAGGCUGCUUUGCGACCAAAACCCCUUUCAAUUCGCUUGCUGGCUACAUGCCCUUCUGUUUCCCUUCCUCUGGAAACUGUAGUAUUAGGGGACUAAGAGUGAGACGAGGCGGCCAGUUGCUUUCCCCAGGGCCAGAGACCAGCUGUGAACGCACACGCUGGCUCCUGCUGACUGUGGCUCCCACCAACCCUUCAUGUUAUAAACCCUCUGGCACGAUAUUCAACAUAUGCCUGCAGACUUUGUCACCCAAACGUGAGCAUCCUCCUAAGACCUUGGACACGGCGUGAAUGGCCUUGAGCUGGUGUGCGACACUCAGGGCCUGGCCACGUGUUCAAAUGAAAGCUGGGUAGAAACCAGCUAUAGAGGUGUCGUACAUUUUCAAGCACAAACUUGGUAGCUGGUUGGCUCUUCUUAUAGCUGCCUAGUCGUGUGUGUGAUGUGAGCGUUACUUUGCAAGUGUGGCCAGUCUAAAUGUAUUGCACGCUUCACCUGUUCAUUGCGUGAUGUAUGUAACGUGCAGCAGGGGCACCAAGAAGGGGAAGGCACUGCAGACAGGAGAUGCUGAGGCUGCUCUAUGUCACACCAGGGCCUUGACAUAGCUCCAGAGUAUGGAAAGCCCAGAGCUGGCUUGAAACCCCUCUUAUUCCACCCUGCCUUGUCGUGGGAGUAAAAUAAUGGAGAAUCUGCCCUGCCAACACUCUGGGUGAUUAACUCUGGCCUUUAUCUGAGCGCUGGGAGCUUCCGUCCCCCCGCCCCGUAUCCCUCGUGCAGAUGGGCCGCUUGCAAGACCGUCAGCACGACUUGCUGUCACGCAUCUCUUUAAUGCCUAAGGUGGCAGGGUGUCCUGCUGAGACCAGCGAUUGUCACCGAAUCAAAGGGAGCUGGAGAGAGCCGGAGGGAACACAAAAGAGCUGCAGAUGACAGGAUCUCGCUUGUGUGAUGGAGGCGGCUGCAUGCAUGUGAGCCCCCGCUGCUCACAGGAUGGCAAAGCCCAAUCCUGUCCAUUCAAUUCUAUGCAAUUAAAAAAAAAAAUCAACCCAUUAGGGUCCUCUCCUCUGCUUUGGCUUCUCUAUUGGCACCUUUGAAGAGCUUUGAUAUCCACCCCAUGUGCUCCUGGCCAGAUGCAGUGGCUCCCGGGGCAGGGGAAAGACAGGGCUCAGAGGACAAGAGGUUUCUGAGCUGGGAGGGAAGCAUACUGCUACGGCGCAGUCGCCUGCCUGUCUCCGGUGGAUCCCUGCAGUCUUGUGCUGCGGCAGAGCUGCCGGGACCAACGGAGGAGAUGGCUUACCCCGCUGUGCCUGGCAUGGGAGAUGCAGGGAGAAUGCAAGCCAGAGCCUGGCUGGGGUGGUAGCUUUCCCAGGCUGUGCGUGCUCGUGCCCUUUGUGCAUGGGUGGCUGUGCAUUUGUAAGCACCAGUGCAGGCUUGUGUGUGUGUGUGUGUGGGGGGGGGGAGAUUGCAUGCCCCAGAUGGUUGAGUGCAUGUGUGCAUGCACACGUGUUCACAUGUGUGCAUACAGCCAUGAGACCACACAUCAGUGUUUCAGGGCCAGUUUCUAGCCUCAUCCCAGCACCGCCUGGCAAACCAACCCUCCUGAGCCAGGACGUCGCUUCCAGGCAGCCCCGACAACUCAGUGCAGCCGCUCUUGGCGGAGGGAAUGAGAAACAUGAGGCACAGAAGCAGCUUCCCCUUCUCUUACGUCCUACUCAUCAUCAUCUCUCCCUGCUUCCCUGCCAAGAGCCAUCGGGAGCAGUUAGCGUGAUGAAAGCCACAUGACUUGGGGGAUUGGGACUAAAAACCAUAGACCCACGGCAGAUAAGAGACACAUUUGGCGUUUCCUCCUCUGAGCUGACAGCUCUUCCCAGGCCUCCCAUGGAAGGGGAUGUUAUCCGCCAACCUUUCCUUGCAUUGCCAGUUAACUGUAGGCAUCAAAUGAGAAUUGUUAUCGUGAUCACGAGGCUCUGAGGAGCGAGACCCAUCGAUCUAGGCCCUUGGCAAUCUGGAAAGAAAAGAACGAGAUGCAAUGAGCAGUCCCUUCUGCAUGCUCAGCCCUCCAAAUGCAGCUCUCUGCCUGCCACGUCGAGUCAAUAGAGGAGAAGCACUGGGGAGAUGAAGACGGGCAUUCACAACCCCGUGAGCCGCGUGUGUUUUUUCCCAGUAGACCAGCCCUUCCCGGAGCGGUGAUCUUUCAUGGGUUGUGCAGACGCGCGGAGAACUGGCGCUCAGUCUCAGAUUUCAUUUCCUGCCUCCAUGCCUCUGCAGCUUCAUUGUAAUGAUAUUGUAAGCUAUUCAUUGCGCUGCCUCGUGCCGUCCAGGAGAAAUCACUUUAUUGUCAGAGCAAGUCAUUGCUCAGGGCUCCUCUCUGACUGCCAGGGAGACAGCAGCGCUUCACAGGCAUAAGGCAUCUCAGUGCUUUCCAUCUCGCUCCCGGGACCAGCGAUGGAGCUGCAAGCAGCCUCUGCUCCUCCAUCACCGGGGGAAGACACGUGGGUCAGUGUGCACAGUCGUGCACAAAUGCAUCAUAUACAUGGGACAAAUGCCAAUAAAUCUACGCCCGUGUGCUAGGGAAGGGACAACCCAGGAGCAACGGGCUGACUGGCUGAUGCACGUAUAGCUUUGUAGGCACAUGUGGGCAGUAGCCAUGUGUGUAUAAGUGUGUGUAUAGCUGUGGACAUCGGUUGUAGUUGUGCAUCCAACUCUGCAUACAGACCCGUCAUGGUUGACUGUGUGCAUCUAUAUACUGCCUGUGAGCAUCUAGUUCUGCGUGUGCCUACAUAAGAAUUGCCAUGUACUGGGUCAGUCCUAGGUCCUUCUAGCCCAGCAUCCUGUGUCACACAGGGGCAGAGAACUGAUGAUGAAAGGCAGCAUGGGCAGCAUCUGUCCAGGGUUUUUCCCCCCACUCUUCCUCUCCCACUUGCAGCCUCCAGCAUUUAAGGUCUGAUUCAGAGGCCAGGUCCCCAACUCCUGUGUUCAAUAGCUACCAAUGCCCCUUUCCUCCAAAAAUGUGUCCAUUCUCUUUUGGGGCCUCUGUAAAGCACCUCUCUGGUCA
Alligator mississippiensis (American alligator) is the source of this 8482-nucleotide long non-coding RNA. RefSeq lists it as uncharacterized. The record is from RefSeq and is a predicted model, not a curated record. The transcript has 3 exons. NCBI's taxonomy places the organism in Eukaryota, Metazoa, Chordata, Crocodylia, Alligatoridae.